RNAcentral lists this unclassified non-coding RNA (528 nucleotides) under Hevea brasiliensis (rubber tree). The record is from RNAcentral. Lineage: Eukaryota; Viridiplantae; Streptophyta; Magnoliopsida; Malpighiales; Euphorbiaceae.
UUGAGUUGAGUUGAGUUGAGUUUAUCUAAUGUAUCAAUUGAGCCUAACAAAUGUAAACAUGAAAAGGGAUACAGAAUACCAAAAUUACUGAGAAAAUGAGGUCAUUGCAUACAUACUAACAUUUACAAGUGGAUGCCCAAUAAGUUACACCUCUCAUAGAAGAAAUUGUUUUGAUGACCGUGCUCAGGAUUUUUUUUCCCCAAAAAGGAUUGCAACACAAACUAUUACAAUUAAUCUAGACCUUGAAAUUUUCAUCACCAUAAAACUUAUUAACUGCUCAAAUUUUAACACAAUUUAUUUUUGUUAGAAAGAAAAAUAGCGAGGGAAAUAUUAUUUUGAGAAAAGGGAGAGAGAACACUGACUUCUCUUGAAUAAAAUAUCUUAUUGACAAUGAAUCUACUAGCAUCAGUACAUAUAUAAAUCAUUAACCCAGAGAAAUCAAUAGAAUUAAGGGAACAUAAAAAUCUUUGUGGGGCAAAACCUAACAGGAAGAAAGACAAAAAAACCUUUGAGUGCAUCAUAUUCUCA